This 406-nucleotide ribosomal RNA is filed under the name uncultured bacterium. RNAcentral's name for it is "partial 16S ribosomal RNA". It matches the Rfam family "Bacterial small subunit ribosomal RNA", at positions 30 to 526 of the family's 1533-position model. The record is from RNAcentral.
AUUGAACGCUGGCGGCAGGCCUAACACAUGCAAGUCGAACGAGUGGCGGACGGGUGAGUAAUGUCUGGGAAACUGCCUGAUGGAGGGGGAUAACUAAUGGAAACGGUAGCUAAUACCGCAUACCAUCAGAUGUGCCCAGAUGGGAUUAGCUUGGUGGUGGGGUAACGGCUCACCAAGGCGACGAUCCCUAGCUGGUCUGAGAGGAUGACCAGCCAUACUGGAACGGAGACACGGCCCAGACUCCUACGGGGGGCGGCGUUGGGGAAUAUUGCACAAUGGGCGCAAGCCUGAUGCAGCCAUGCCGCGUGUAUGAAGAAGGCCUUCGGGUUUUAAAGUACUUUCAUCGGGGAGGCGGUACCCGCAGAAGAAGCACCGGCUAACUCCGUGCCAGCAGCCGCGGUAAUAC